GAUGAACGCUGGCGGCGUGCCUAAUACAUGCAAGUCGAGCGAACGGACGAGAAGCUUGCUUCUCUGAUGUUAGCGGCGGACGGGUGAGUAACACGUGGAUAACCUACCUAUAAGACUGGGAUAACUUCGGGAAACCGGAGCUAAUACCGGAUAAUAUUUUGAACCGCAUGGUUCAAAAGUGAAAGACGGUCUUGCUGUCACUUAUAGAUGGAUCCGCGCUGCAUUAGCUAGUUGGUAAGGUAACGGCUUACCAAGGCAACGAUGCAUAGCCGACCUGAGAGGGUGAUCGGCCACACUGGAACUGAGACACGGUCCAGACUCCUACGGGAGGCAGCAGUAGGGAAUCUUCCGCAAUGGGCGAAAGCCUGGCGGAGCAACGCCGCGUGAGUGAUGAAGGUCUUCGGAUCGUAAAACUCUGUUAUUAGGGAAGAACAUAUGUGUAAGUAACUGUGCACAUCUUGACGGUACCUAAUCAGAAAGCCACGGCUAACUACGUGCCAGCAGCCGCGGUAAUACGUAGGUGGCAAGCGUUAUCCGGAAUUAUUGGGCGUAAAGCGCGCGUAGGCGGUUUUUUAAGUCUGAUGUGAAAGCCCACGGCUCAACCGUGGAGGGUCAUUGGAAACUGGAAAACUUGAGUGCAGAAGAGGAAAGUGGAAUUCCAUGUGUAGCGGUGAAAUGCGCAGAGAUAUGGAGGAACACCAGUGGCGAAGGCGACUUUCUGGUCUGUAACUGACGCUGAUGUGCGAAAGCGUGGGGAUCAAACAGGAUUAGAUACCCUGGUAGUCCACGCCGUAAACGAUGAGUGCUAAGUGUUAGGGGGUUUCCGCCCCUUAGUGCUGCAGCUAACGCAUUAAGCACUCCGCCUGGGGAGUACGACCGCAAGGUUGAAACUCAAAGGAAUUGACGGGGACCCGCACAAGCGGUGGAGCAUGUGGUUUAAUUCGAAGCAACGCGAAGAACCUUACCAAAUCUUGACAUCCUUUGACAACUCUAGAGAUAGAGCUUUCCCCUUCGGGGGACAAAGUGACAGGUGGUGCAUGGUUGUCGUCAGCUCGUGUCGUGAGAUGUUGGGUUAAGUCCCGCAACGAGCGCAACCCUUAAGCUUAGUUGCCAUCAUUAAGUUGGGCACUCUAAGUUGACUGCCGGUGACAAACCGGAGGAAGGUGGGGAUGACGUCAAAUCAUCAUGCCCCUUAUGAUUUGGGCUACACACGUGCUACAAUGGACAAUACAAAGGGCAGCGAAACCGCGAGGUCAAGCAAAUCCCAUAAAGUUGUUCUCAGUUCGGAUUGUAGUCUGCAACUCGACUACAUGAAGCUGGAAUCGCUAGUAAUCGUAGAUCAGCAUGCCACGGUGAAUACGUUCCCGGGUCU
This 1372-nucleotide ribosomal RNA is filed under the name uncultured bacterium. RNAcentral's name for it is "bacterial SSU rRNA". It matches the Rfam family "Bacterial small subunit ribosomal RNA", at positions 28 to 1381 of the family's 1533-position model. The record is from RNAcentral.